Molecule: ribosomal RNA, 468 nt
Filed under: uncultured bacterium
Lineage: Bacteria
Description: partial 16S ribosomal RNA
Rfam family: Bacterial small subunit ribosomal RNA
Source: RNAcentral
GACGAACGCUGGCGGCGUGCUUAACACAUGCAAGUCGAACGGAAAGGCCCUGCUUUUGUGGGGUGCUCGAGUGGCGAACGGGUGAGUAACACGUGAGUAACCUGCCCUUGACUUUGGGAUAACUUCAGGAAACUGGGGCUAAUACCGGAUAGGAGCUCCUGCUGCAUGGUGGGGGUUGGAAAGUUUCGGCGGUUGGGGAUGGACUCGCGGCUUAUCAGCUUGUUGGUGGGGUAGUGGCUUACCAAGACUAUGACGGGUAGCCGGCCUGAGAGGGUGACCGGCCACAUGGGGACUGAGAUACGGCCCAGACUCCUACGGGAGGCAGCAGUGGGGAAUAUUGCACAAUGGGCGGAAGCCUGAUGCAGCAACGCCGCGUGCGGGAUGACGGCCUUCGGGUUGUAAACCGCUUUCGCCUGUGACGAAGCGUGAGUGACGGUAAUGGGUAAAGAAGCACCGGCUAACUACGUG